This 30-nucleotide small RNA is filed under the name Bombyx mori (domestic silkworm). RNAcentral describes it as "ovarian small RNA-32464". The record is from RNAcentral. Lineage: Eukaryota; Metazoa; Arthropoda; Insecta; Lepidoptera; Bombycidae.
UGAUAGUCAGCGGCGAGCGCCUCCGCUCCC